Molecule: long non-coding RNA, 683 nt
Organism: Eriocheir sinensis (Chinese mitten crab)
Lineage: Eukaryota; Metazoa; Arthropoda; Malacostraca; Decapoda; Varunidae
Exons: 3
Source: RefSeq, a predicted model, not a curated record
CACGGUAAAGCCACAAAUUUGGUCCCUCACUGCUACCGAGUUAAGAGGAAAUGGAAGAGGAUUAAGAGGUUUAGAAGAGGGCUAACCCUUUCCAUACGGUGACGACGUCGGGGUCGCCGGAGUGAAGGGGUUAAGAUGCAAGGUGUUUCAUAGAUAUAAUUCUCAAGGUGUGUUCCAUAUGCAAAAAUUUCAGUGGAUAUUUCAUAAGCAAAAUUCUCAAAGUAUUUCAUAUGCCAAAAUUUCCGGGGUGUUCCGGGGGCUUCAUGGUGCAGUGGUUAGCACACUCAGCUCACAACCGAGAGAGUCCGGGUUCGAUUCCCGGGUGGAGUGGAAAAAUUUGGGCGGCUUUUCCGAUACCCUACGCCCCUGUCCACCCAGCAGUGAAUGGGUACCAGGUAUUAAUCAGGGGUUGUGUCCUGUCUCCUGGGGUCUGUUCCCUUCUCCUAUAAUUCCUUCCCCUUCUGUCUCUCUACAGCAUAUGACCACAGAUGUUGCGCCCAAAAAAACAAACUUUCCAACUUUUCCUGGGUGUUUCAUAAGGAAAAUUCAAGGUGUGUUUCAUAUGCAAAAUUCUCAAGGGGUGUGACAUAUAGAAAAUUCUCAAGGGGUGUUUCAUAUGCAAAAUUCUCAAGGGGUGUUUCAUAUGCAAAAUUCUCAAGGUGUGUUUCGUAUGCAAAAUUCUC